UCCUGCUGUUGAAUUUCAGCGCUGCCCGCAGGAUGUCCUCCUCCGUCUUGGAGCGUUCCCGCACCGGGAUCAUCCUGUUCAUGCCUGGCGUUUAACACACGCGCGUGAGAAACACGUCCUGCUUGUUUUCCCCACCAUCACCAUUGAACACAGAAGAUGGGAAUGAAGAGACUUAAAAGAAACAAAUACUUAAAUAUUUAAUGAAUAAAUAUAAUUAAGAAUAUUAAUGAAGGAACAGGCAGACUCUAUAAACCAUUUAAAUAGUGUGCUUCUAUUGAGUUUUUAAAACAGGCUCUGAACAAUAAAAAUAUGUUUAUGUUAGCUGAAAUUUUACAUAUAAACACCUUCUUAAAAUA
Taeniopygia guttata (zebra finch) is the source of this 356-nucleotide non-coding RNA. The record is from RefSeq and is a predicted model, not a curated record. NCBI's taxonomy places the organism in Eukaryota, Metazoa, Chordata, Aves, Passeriformes, Estrildidae.